This 407-nucleotide ribosomal RNA is filed under the name uncultured bacterium. RNAcentral's name for it is "partial 16S ribosomal RNA". It matches the Rfam family "Bacterial small subunit ribosomal RNA", at positions 30 to 527 of the family's 1533-position model. The record is from RNAcentral.
AUUGAACGCUGGCGGCAGGCCUAACACAUGCAAGUCGAGCGGAGCGGCGGACGGGUGAGUAAUGCCUAGGAAUCUGCCUGGUAGUGGGGGGUAACGUCCGGAAACGGGCCCUAAUACCGCAUACUAUCAGAUGAGCCUCGGUCGGAGUAUCUAGUGGGUGGGGUAAAGGCCUACCAAGGCGACGAUCCGUAACUGGACUGAGAGGAUGAUCAGUCACACGGGAACUGGGACACGGUGCAGACUCCUACGGGAGGCAGCAGUGGGGAAUAUUGGACAAUGGGCGAAAGCCUGAUCCAGCCAUGCCGCGUGUGUGAAGAAGGUCCUCGGAUUGUAAAGCACUUUAAGUUGGGAGGCGUUAGCAAAAGAAUAAGCACCGGCUAACUUCGUGCCAGCAGCCGCGGUAAUUG